GACGAACGCUGGCGGCGUGCUUAAUACAUGCAAGUCAACUUGACUUUAGAUAGCAAUAUCGAAAAGUAGGGUGGCGCACGGGUGCGUAACGCGUAGGUAAUCUGCCCUGAGGUCUGACAUAACCCGUCGAAAGGCGGGCUAACAUCAGAUGAUAUAUGAUCACGACAUCGUGGAAAUAUCAAAUCUUCGGAGCCUUGGGAUGAGCCUGCGUCUGAUUAGGUAGUUGGCGGAGUAAUAGCCCACCAAGCCUACGAUCAGUAGCUGGUCUGAGAGGAUGAUCAGCCACACUGGAACUGAGACAUGGUCCAGACUCCUACGGGAGGCAGCAGUAAGGAAUAUUGCUCAAUGGGGGAAACCCUGAAGCAGCAACGCCGCGUGAAGGAUGAAAUACUUUUGUAUGUAAACUUCUGUAAGAUGGGAAAAAUAUUCCCCUCGGGAGAAUUGAUUGUACCAUCAGAGUAAGCCCCGGCUAACUACG
RNAcentral lists this ribosomal RNA (478 nucleotides) under uncultured bacterium. Its description in RNAcentral is "bacterial SSU rRNA". It matches the Rfam family "Bacterial small subunit ribosomal RNA", at positions 28 to 505 of the family's 1533-position model. The record is from RNAcentral.